AUGGGCUCGCUUGGCGUUUAAUAAUAAAUAACUAGUAUGGAUUCCAAAUUGCUACUAACAAUACAUUUAAAAUUAACAUCAUUUCCUUAUGACAUACUGCAAAAUGAUCUUUUCAAUAGCCAUGUAAAAUUAUUGUGCUUACGCGAAAAGAAGGCUAGAUUUUGUUGACAUCCCCACUCCAGUCUCUAUGAUCUCAAUAAUUGACCAUGACUGAUGGUGUAUCACGUGCUAUAGAGCACUAUUACAAAGUGUCACUGUGUGUUAUCUGUGGUGUUGUUUAACAACAGACAUCGCGUGUCCGUCUUUGGUAACAGAGCGUAGCAGUUUGAAAUCGACAUUAGUUUGUUUAAUUUUUUAUGUUUAUUAGAGAAAUUAUAUAUAAAGUAAUUUACACAAAAUGGUGUCUUGUUGCGUGCCAACUUGUGGAAAUUCGUCGAGAAAAUUUAAGUUACAUGUUUUACCAAAAGACAGGGAGCUUAGGAUAAUAUGGUGUUUAGCCAUAUGUAGGAAAGAUUUAAUUGACAUAGAUUUACAAACAAGAAAUCGAUACAGAGUGUGCGAAAUACAUUUUGAUGAACAAGAAAAAAUUGGAGGACCUUCCAAUCGAAGGCAUUUAAAAUGUACUUCGUGUCCAACUUUGAAACUUCCAGGUUUGCUUAAAUAAAACUAAUGAUUAACGAAUAACAAAAAUAAAGCCACAAUAGGUAUAAAAAAAAAAUA
Molecule: long non-coding RNA, 720 nt
Organism: Colletes gigas
Lineage: Eukaryota; Metazoa; Arthropoda; Insecta; Hymenoptera; Colletidae
Exons: 3
Source: RefSeq, a predicted model, not a curated record